GUGAAUGGCGAUUUUGGAGAGUGAUUGUUCACCAAAUCCAUUAGCAUGACCAAAUCCAUAAACAAUGUUUGAGUUUUCAACAACAACCAUGAUAAGGUUGGUGUUACUAUAAUAAUCAAGCGCUUUUGUUUAUGAAAGUUCAUUUGGUUGAACUGAAGAGAGGUUGGGAGUAUGGUGUUAAGAGUUAUCACCUCUUCUAUAAAAGUGGCAUGGCAUCAAUAAGGGUAUGUAUGGAACUUAAAUUUUUUGUGUAAGAGUUAUCUUGGGAUUAUUUGAGGCAAAUGAUCUUCUCUCUGACAAUGGCAUCAUAUUGGAGAUUCUCUUCCUCUAAUUGGGCAUAGGAGAGAAUGAUC
This 353-nucleotide long non-coding RNA is filed under the name Trifolium pratense (red clover). Its description in RNAcentral is "long non-coding RNA (TPRA_LNC006560)". The record is from RNAcentral. Lineage: Eukaryota; Viridiplantae; Streptophyta; Magnoliopsida; Fabales; Fabaceae.